AACCAGCACCUCAAGUAGUCAGGAUGAUUAUUGGGCCUAAAGCAUCCGUAGCUCGUUUUGUAAGUUUUCGGUUAAAUCCAUGCGCUUAACGUAUAGGGCCGCGAAACGUACUGUGCAGACUAGGGAGUGGGAGAGGUACACGGUACUCGGUAGGAAGGGGUAAAAUCCUUUGAUCUAUUGAUGACCACCUGUGGCGAAGGCGGUCUACCAGAACACGUUCGACGGUGA
This 228-nucleotide ribosomal RNA is filed under the name uncultured bacterium. RNAcentral's name for it is "partial 16S ribosomal RNA". It matches the Rfam family "Archaeal small subunit ribosomal RNA", at positions 474 to 700 of the family's 1478-position model. The record is from RNAcentral.